GACGAACGCUGGCGGCGUGCUUAACACAUGCAAGUCGAACGGAAAGGCCCUGCUUUUGUGGGGUGCUCGAGUGGCGAACGGGUGAGUAACACGUGAGUAACCUGCCCUUGACUGUGGGAUAACUUCAGGAAACUGGGGCUAAUACCGGGUAGGAGCUCCUGCUGCAUGGGGGGGGUUGGAAAGUGUCGGCGGUUGUGGAUGGACUCGCGGCUUAUCAGCUUGUUGGUGGGGUAGUGGCUUACCAAGGCUUUGACGGGUAGCCGGCCUGAGAGGGUGACCGGCCACAUUGGGACUGAGAUACGCACCAGACUCCUACGGGCGGCAGCAGUGGGGAGCAUUGCACAAUGGGCGGAAGCCUGAUGCAGCAACGCCGCGUGCGGGAUGACGGCCUUCGGGUUGUAAACCGCUUUCGCCUGUGACGAAGCGUGCGUGACGGUAAUGGGUAAAGAAGCACCGGCUAACUACGUG
This 468-nucleotide ribosomal RNA is filed under the name uncultured bacterium. RNAcentral's name for it is "partial 16S ribosomal RNA". It matches the Rfam family "Bacterial small subunit ribosomal RNA", at positions 28 to 507 of the family's 1533-position model. The record is from RNAcentral.